UUGGAGGGCAAGUCUGGUGCCAGCAGCCGCGGUAAUUCCAGCUCCAAUAGCGUAUAUUAAAGUUGUUGCAGUUAAAAAGCUCGUAGUUGAAUUUCGGGAUCAAUGUUUCGGUCAUGCCGUUGGUAUGUACUGAUAUUAUUGGUUUCUCACCUUCUAAAGAACCGUAAUGCCAUUAAUUUGGUGUCACGGGGAAUUAGGACUGUUACCUUGAAAAAAUUAGAGUGUUUAAAGCAGGCUCACGCUUGAAUACAUUAGCAUGGAAUAAUGAAAUAGGACAUCCGAUUCUAUUUUGUUGGUUUCUAGGAUCGAUGUAAUGAUUAAUAGGGAUAGUUGGGGGCAUUAGUAUUCAAUUGUCAGAGGUGAAAUUCUUGGAUUUAUUGAAGACUAACUACUGCGAAAGCAUUUGCCAAGGAUGUUUUCAUUAAUCAAGAACGAAAGUUAGGGGAUCGAAGACGAUCAGAUACCGUCGUAGUCUUAACCAUAAACUAUGCCGACUAGGGAUCGGAUGAUGUUAAUUUUUUAAUGACUCAUUCGGCGCCUUACGGGAAACCAAAG
Molecule: ribosomal RNA, 555 nt
Filed under: uncultured Glomus
Lineage: Eukaryota; Fungi; Glomeromycota; Glomeromycetes; Glomerales; Glomeraceae
Description: SSU rRNA
Rfam family: Eukaryotic small subunit ribosomal RNA
Source: RNAcentral